UUCUACUGCGUUGCCUUUUCGCAAAGUUCCAAACGCGGCUCUGAAGUCUGAACAGCUCUCCGUCUCUCUCUUCAACGACUCGGAAGAAGCAGAAGAAGAAUAAAGAACAAUCGGUGUUUGGAUUUCUCUCUCGUCUCUGGCGGCCUUGGCGAUCAAGAGUAACAACUCGGUUUUGGAAUUUAUCUUGGCAUAACUUGGUGUAGCUAUCAGUCAAAGUUGACAGUUCUGGUGUCUGCUGUUCCAUUCGGUGUAUAUGAGCAAACAUGGGGUCCGCUUGUUGUGUAGCUGCUAGAGACAGAACAAUAACAAAUAGAACAAGUGAUGAAAUUUUCCAAGGAAAUGUAAGGUAUUCACCAUCAUGGAGUUUUCGGUGGGAUAACCGAAGGCGAGUAGCAGGGGAAGAGACUCCUGAGAAUUGGACUUCCGAUGGAGGUGUCCAGAAUGACAGAAUGGAGAUAAAAUCUCAAUCACUGGUAGGAACUGCUUAUGCAUCAGAAGAAGGAAGUCCAUUAGAUAGCUCUAGGACAUUGACAUGGCAGAAGUCCCAAACUUCUGAAAUAAAUGGAGAAAUUUCGAGGCUUCCUUUAUCAGAUCAAUCCAACUCUAGAGACUCUCUUACAGAGUUGAAGGAGCCAACAGAAACACCUACAGUGUCAAAUCUGUCUGCUGCAAAACUGUCGCCUUUCGAGCAUUCAAUUUCAUCACUGUCUACCUCCCCUUUGUCAUCUCAAGGCCAAGUUCUUCCUGCAAGCUCAACUCCAACAAGGCGGCCGCAUCAUUCCCCAGGACACCAGCUAUCACACCAAGUAUCUGGUAGGCGGAUUCCACGGCAUAAGUCACGGAACUUCUCAAUUUCUGAAGAUACAUCUUUUAUGGCCCUGGGCUGGAGCAAUGAAUCAACUAGGGACUCUAAUGGUGGCUCGUCUGAUUGUUGGUCAAUACCUGCCUUCCCCGAGUUCAUGCCAUCUUUUCAUAGGGAAAGGUGGUCAAUGGAUAGUGAGCAACUGAGCUUCAUUGAUGAGAAGAUAGCCAGAUCUAGUAGCCAGUUUUCAGCAUCUCCCUCUAUCGAUAUCAAGACCUGUGGGGUUUGCUCAAGGCUGUUGACUGAGAAAUCUUCGUGGGGUAGCCAGAAAAUAAUAGCUACUAAUGAGCUGGCUGUUGUUGCUGUUCUAAUUUGUGGACAUGUUUACCAUGCUGAGUGCUUAGAGAAUAUGACACCUGAAUUCAACAAGUAUGAUCCUGCUUGUCCAGUUUGUACUUUUGGAGAGAAGCAGACACAGAAGUUGUCUGAACGAGCUUUAAGAGCCGAAAUGGACUUGAAGGCCAGAAACAAAAGAUCAAGAAACCGAAUUGUGUAUAGCGAUCUUGAUGGUGGUUGUAUUGUGUCAGAUGGCCAGAAAAGUGAUGGGUUUGAGGUGAAAGGUCUCAAGAAUAUCUCAAGCUCCAGCAUGAAAAAUUCCUUGGUGAAGCCCCUGUUAAGGCGGCACUUUUCCUUUGGGUCAAAAGGAGCUAAACUUUUGUCAGAGAAUCACUCUAAGCGAAAGAAGGGAUUCUUCUGGUCAAAGUCUGUGAAGUAUUAAGCUGGCUUCUGGCGCUCAAUAGCACAAGACUGAUACGUGUAUUCAAGCUAAAUUUAAAACUUAGCCUACCUUUCAGUGGCUCUGGAAAAGCACAACAGUGGGGAGGUUAUAGGAUCGAUCCUCUGCUCGAUGAUGUUGACCAUUUAGACAAAGGAAGCAGGUCAACCGCUCGGGUGGGUGUUGCCAACAACAACCUUCUGCACUUGUACUCUGUAAUUUCCAGCAGGAAUAGAUUUGUUUCUGAAGUUACACUGUAAAGAAGGAAAAUUACAUAAAAAUUAACUAAUAAAUAGGAAGAUGGGGAGGGGGAUAGUUUAUGGAAAAUACAUAUUAAUUGGUUCUUUCGCAUGGAUUAGUCCAUGAAAUGAGCCCGAAGAUAUCUGUAUGACUUAGAAUUCUUGAUUCUACAAACAAGGCGGCAGCUUUGCCCACUCUUUUUGAGUGCCUUUGUAUUGUGGGCAUCUGGACGCUACGCAAUUACAGUCUUUAAGUAAUAUUACAACUAUAAUGGAGUUAGCAAUUGAUUUGA
Molecule: RNA transcript, 2109 nt
Organism: Diospyros lotus (date-plum)
Lineage: Eukaryota; Viridiplantae; Streptophyta; Magnoliopsida; Ericales; Ebenaceae
Exons: 6
Source: RefSeq, a predicted model, not a curated record